CUUGCCUGUGAGUCUGAGACCUGCUGGUAUGGAUGGAGAGGGGCUCAGGACAAGGCACCACAGGCUUCCUUAGGCAAGAAACUACAGCACAUAAAGUGCAUGAUGUCACAGAGAGGAGCACACUGCCUGCCUGCCCGUGAGUCUGCAGAGUUCCAGAGAUUAUGGGAUCAAGUUACAUCUGAAUCCUAGUGCUGGCUGGACCAUGUGCUAUCACUGUGCCCUGGAGACAGACUUUACAUUUUUCCAGGAACACUCUGGAUACUGAGUUGUAUGAGGACCCCAGGAUCCUCUUCUAAGCAGGUGUGUAACAGCACUGUCCUUCCCGGUGGGCACAUGAACAGCCUGCCCUGGCACCCUGGCACAGAGAGAGUC
RNAcentral lists this long non-coding RNA (372 nucleotides) under Ursus maritimus (polar bear). Its description in RNAcentral is "lncRNA (ENSUMAG00000008443.1)". Lineage: Eukaryota; Metazoa; Chordata; Mammalia; Carnivora; Ursidae. The record is from RNAcentral.